UACGUAGGGGGCAAGCGUUACCCGGAAUUACUGGGCGUAAAGCGCACGUAGGCGGCUUUCUAAGUCGGGGGUGAAAUCCUGGAGCUCAACUCCAGAACUGCCUUCGAUACUGGAGAGCUCGAGUCCGGGAGAGGUGAGUGGAACUGCGAGUGUAGAGGUGAAAUUCGUAGAUAUUCGCAAGAACACCAGUGGCGAAGGCGGCUCACUGGCCCGGUACUGACGCUGAGGUGCGAAAGCGUGGGGAGAAAACAGG
RNAcentral lists this ribosomal RNA (253 nucleotides) under uncultured bacterium. RNAcentral's name for it is "partial 16S ribosomal RNA". It matches the Rfam family "Bacterial small subunit ribosomal RNA", at positions 524 to 776 of the family's 1533-position model. The record is from RNAcentral.